Molecule: long non-coding RNA, 213 nt
Filed under: Physcomitrium patens
Lineage: Eukaryota; Viridiplantae; Streptophyta; Bryopsida; Funariales; Funariaceae
Description: long non-coding RNA (PPAT_LNC005975)
Source: RNAcentral
GCCGCUUCGUCGACUUGUUUUGAUGGCAAUGGCGUUGACUCUACUCUUGUCUCUGUUGCUACAGCGUCUAGUCUCUCCACCAUUGAAGGUUGCUUCAGUUGAUAUCUAAUUGCUUCACACACGUAGUUGGAGCAUAACAUCGUGGUAACCUUCCCUGUUCUUCUUUUCACGUCCAAUUCCGCAUGGAUUCUGGUCGCAACAUACGUUGCCCAG